RNAcentral lists this ribosomal RNA (274 nucleotides) under uncultured bacterium. Its description in RNAcentral is "partial 16S ribosomal RNA". It matches the Rfam family "Bacterial small subunit ribosomal RNA", at positions 523 to 796 of the family's 1533-position model. The record is from RNAcentral.
AUACGGAGGGUGCAAGCGUUGUUCGGAAUCACUGGGCGUAAAGGGCGCGCAGGCGGUUUGGUAAGUCAGAUGUGAAAGCCCAUGGCUCAACCAUGGAAGUGCAUUUGAAACUGUCAGACUUGAGUACUAGAGGGGAAAGUGGAAUUCCCGGUGUAGAGGUGAAAUUCGUAGAUAUCGGGAGGAAUACCGGUGGCGAAGGCGACUUUCUGGCUAGAUACUGACGCUGAGGCGCGAAAGCGUGGGGAGCAAACAGCAUUAGAUACCCUAGUAGUCC